This is a long non-coding RNA of Triticum dicoccoides, 1224 nucleotides long. RefSeq lists it as uncharacterized. The record is from RefSeq and is a predicted model, not a curated record. Lineage: Eukaryota; Viridiplantae; Streptophyta; Magnoliopsida; Poales; Poaceae. The transcript has 4 exons.
ACCUCCGCCGUGAAUCUCGCAGCCACGGCCGGUGGCCAGUCUCCCUCUCCGGCUUCCAUCCAGCGCCGCCGCCGCGCCCUCUCCUCCCCUUCCCACCAGCCCCAAAUCGGUGCCAUUCUGAGUCUCCUCCACCUCCAACCUCCUGCUGGCGGCCGUGUCGGAUUUGGAUCGGAGUCACUAGCGUGUGCGCGCAGGAGACAAAAUCUCACAUAGACUCAGAAGCCAACAAACAAGUUUUCCCCAUCACUUAAAUCCCUCUCCCAGACCAAAACAAUCGAGCGGAAGACGAUCUGGACGCGAUGGCGCUGGAGUGGGUUGUGCGCUACGCGGCGGGCGCUGACGCCAUCAUGCCGCUGCAGCCGACGCCGCUGAGGAUGGAUGUGCUUCGGCACCGCUCUUCAUCAACCUCUAACUCGCUGUAUCCACUCACCCUGCUAUCAUGGUACCAAAAAGCAAGAUCUGGGCGAAAGUUUACGAGGCGAACUGUAUCUCACGUCAACUCGCCCGCCGCUGGGUAGCCGCCGCCCUCGCCACUGGUCCGCCUCUCCAAGUCUCCGACCGGCUGUUCUACUCGGACAUCGCCGUACAGUUCCUCAUCCGCAAACUCUUGUGCUUCUCAACUAGAAAUCAAUCCCCGAGCUAUUAAUGCCCCCCGUAUUUGUCGCAGGAUAUGCCCAAGGUGAAGGACGGACACCAACGACGGAGAGGAGGAGCAAGAGGACGACGAUGCUGUUAAAGCUAACUAAAAUUUGAGGGGGCUUUGCAAUGUCGAGAAAAUAAUCAUGAGGGUCGGUUUUCAUGAGGAGAAGGCAUGCUAAACUCUUCAUUAUCACCAGUGGGAUUGAUGUAGUGAUUAAGGAAGAAGUUGCUGAUAAAUCUACGAACCAUCAGAAAUUCACCAACCGGGAGCGGUCCAGGGGUCCUCAAUUUUAAGAUGAGCUGCAGUAUUUUUAAGAUCAGAAUGUGCCAUAUGAGUGGAGUAGAAGAUAUUAAGUAAGAUAGACUUACUGGUACUAAUUCGCGAGGAUCGUCAUAACUAUCAGCAGAUUUGCAAAUGGAGAUCAUGUGUCCGCAAACAUAGUAUCCACAAAGGUUGGUCCCUGCUUGUUGCUGAGGAUACUGAAAUUGUUUGUACAGAAUUAGUCAUGUAUUUGUACUGUUAGGAACAAUCUAACCUGUGUUAGAUGUAUUAUUUAUUUCUUUGGAAAAAUAGAAAGAGGUUUA